ACGCACGCUGGCGGCGUGCUUAACACAUGCAAGUCGAACGGAAAGGCCCUGCUUUUGUGGGGUGCUCGAGUGGCGAACGGGUGAGUAACACGUGAGUAACCUGCCCUUGACUUUGGGAUAACUUCAGGAAACUGGGGCUAAUACCGGAUAGGAGCUCCUGCUGCAUGGUGGGGGUUGGAAAGUUUCGGCGGUUGGGGAUGGACUCGCGGCUUAUCAGCUUGUUGGUGGGGUAGUGGCUUACCAAGGCUUUGGCGGGUAGCCGGCCUGAGAGGGUGACCGGCCACAUUGGGACUGAGAUACGGCCCAGACUCCUACGGGAGGCAGCAGUGGGGAAUAUUGCACAAUGGGCGGAAGCCUGAUGCAGCAACGCCGCGUGCGGGAUGACGGCCUUCGGGUUGUAAACCGCUUUCGCCUGUGACGAAGCGUGAGUGACGGUAAUGGGUAAAGAAGCACCGGCUAACUACGUG
This 467-nucleotide ribosomal RNA is filed under the name uncultured bacterium. Its description in RNAcentral is "partial 16S ribosomal RNA". It matches the Rfam family "Bacterial small subunit ribosomal RNA", at positions 29 to 507 of the family's 1533-position model. The record is from RNAcentral.